RNAcentral lists this ribosomal RNA (259 nucleotides) under uncultured bacterium. RNAcentral's name for it is "partial small subunit ribosomal RNA". It matches the Rfam family "Bacterial small subunit ribosomal RNA", at positions 27 to 285 of the family's 1533-position model. The record is from RNAcentral.
GGGACGAACGCUGGCGGCGUGCUUAACACAUGCAAGUCGAGCGGUGAUCCUCCUUUCGGGAGGUGAUCAGCGGCGAACGGGUGAGUAACACGUGGGCAACCUGCCCCUCACACUGGGAUAACCUCGGGAAAACCGGGGCUAAUACCGGAUACGACCUCGAGCGGCAUCUCUUGAGGUGGAAAGCUCCGACGGUGAGGGAUGGGCCCGCGGCCUAUCAGCUUGUUGGUGGGGUAAUGGCCUACCAAGGCGACGACGGGUA